This 420-nucleotide ribosomal RNA is filed under the name uncultured bacterium. RNAcentral's name for it is "bacterial SSU rRNA". It matches the Rfam family "Bacterial small subunit ribosomal RNA", at positions 357 to 775 of the family's 1533-position model. The record is from RNAcentral.
AGGAAUAUUGGUCAAUGGGCGCUAGCCUGAACCAGCCAAGUAGCGUGAAGGAUGACUGCCCUAUGGGUUGUAAACUUCUUUUAUAUGGGAAUAAAACAGGGUAUGCAUACCCUCUUGUAUGUACCAUAUGAAUAAGCAUCGGCUAACUCCGUGCCAGCAGCCGCGGUAAUACGGAGGAUGCGAGCGUUAUCCGGAUUUAUUGGGUUUAAAGGGUGCGUAGGCGGGCUGUUAAGUCAGCGGUCAAAUGUCGGGGCUCAACCCCGGCCUGCCGUUGAAACUGGCGGCCUCGAGUGGGCGAGAAGUAUGCGGAAUGCGUGGUGUAGCGGUGAAAUGCAUAGAUAUCACGCAGAACUCCGAUUGCGAAGGCAGCAUACCGGCGCCCUACUGACGCUGAGGCACGAAAGCGUGGGUAUCGAACAG